RNAcentral lists this ribosomal RNA (292 nucleotides) under uncultured bacterium. RNAcentral's name for it is "partial 16S ribosomal RNA". It matches the Rfam family "Bacterial small subunit ribosomal RNA", at positions 505 to 796 of the family's 1533-position model. The record is from RNAcentral.
GUGUCAGCAGCCGCGGUAAGACAGAGGGUGCUAGCGUUGUUCGGAAUGACUGGGCGUAAAGGGCGCGUAGGCGGGAAUAUUAGUCAAGCGUGAAAGCCCCAGGCUUAACCUGGGAACAGCGCAUGAAACGGUAUACCUAGAGGACGAGAGAGGGAAGCGGAAUUCCUAGUGUAGAGGUGAAAUUCGUAGAUAUUAGGAGGAACACCAGAGGCGAAGGCGGCUUUCUGGCUCGUAACUGACGCUGAGGCGCGAAAGCGUGGGGAGCAAACAGGAUUAGAUACCCUGGUAGUCC